Molecule: ribosomal RNA, 442 nt
Filed under: uncultured Pyramidobacter sp.
Lineage: Bacteria; Thermotogati; Synergistota; Synergistia; Synergistales; Dethiosulfovibrionaceae
Description: bacterial SSU rRNA
Rfam family: Bacterial small subunit ribosomal RNA
Source: RNAcentral
CCUACGGGGGGCUGCAGUGGGGAAUAUUGGGCAAUGGGGGCAACCCUGACCCAGCGACGCCGCGUGAGGGAAGACAGCCUUCGGGUUGUAAACCUCUGUUGCAGGGGAAGAAGAAAGUGACGGUACCCUGCGAGGAAGCUCCGGCAAACUACGUGCCAGCAGCCGCGGUAAUACGUAGGGAGCGAGCGUUGUCCGGAAUUACUGGGCGUAAAGGGCGCGUAGGCCGUGUUAUAAGUUAGUUGUAAAACGUGUGGGCUUAACCCGCAUUCGCAACUAAAACUGUAACGCUAGAGGCAUAGAGAGGCAGACGGAAUUCCUGGUGUAGCGGUGAAAUGCGUAGAUAUCAGGAAGAACACCGGUGGCGAAGGCGGUCUGCUGGCUAUGAACUGACGCUGAAGCGCGAAAGCCAGGGGAGCAAACGGGAUUAGAUACCCCAGUAGUC